RNA transcript from Pan troglodytes (chimpanzee), 3667 nucleotides. It is a transcript of the gene named mucolipin TRP cation channel 2, with no coding region annotated. The record is from RefSeq and is a predicted model, not a curated record. Lineage: Eukaryota; Metazoa; Chordata; Mammalia; Primates; Hominidae. The transcript has 16 exons.
GCACACAGAGCCGCCUUUCAGCCGCCCGAGAACGGCCCGCCGCACUCCGCGACUGCGGCGCCUGCUCUCGGGCCGGGGUCUGCGCGCACCACGCGGCCGUCAGGAAGGGUAAGAGAAGGGAACCCCGCUUUGCAGGGCUCCAACUUCGGCGGACGCGUUACGGCGAGGGCGAAAUGAGUCGGCCGUGAACGGUGUUUCCUGUUCCGAAUCCCGAGAGCCCUGGAAAGUUUUGAAGGAGGAGGCAUGGCCCGGCAGCCUUAUCGUUUUCCCCAGGCAAGGAUUCCGGAGAGAGGAUCAGGUGUUUUCGGGUUAACCGUCAGGUUGGAGUCCAGUGGCACAUUCUCAGCUCACUGCAACCUCUGCCUCCUGGGUUCCAAGUGAUUCUUGUGCCUCAGCCUCCCGAGUAGCUGGGGUUACAGGUUUGUGCUACCAUGCCCAGCUAAUUUUGUAUUUUUGGUAAAGACAGGGUUUCGCCAUGUUGGCCAGGCUGGUCUUGAACUCCUGUCCUCAAGUGAUCUGCCUGCCCUGGCCUCGGAAAGUGCUGGGAUUACGGGCAUGAGCCACCAUGCCCAGCCUCUGCUGACCUAAUUCUUGGUUAUGAAGCCUGGUUGUAAUUUAAGACUCCUGUAAAACACCCAGCCAGGUGUUCAGCAUUGCAAGAAAUGCAAUGGCACAUCGUGAUUCUGAGAUGAAAGAAGAAUGUCUAAGGGAAGACCUGAAGUUUUACUUCAUGAGCCCUUGUGAAAAAUACCGAGCCAGACGCCAGAUUCCGUGGAAACUGGGUUUGCAGAUUUUGAAGAUAGUCAUGGUCACCACACAGCUUGUUCGUUUUGGUUUAAGUAACCAGCUGGUGGUUGCUUUCAAAGAAGAUAACACUGUUGCUUUUAAGCACUUGUUUUUGAAAGGAUAUUCUGGUACAGAUGAAGAUGACUACAGCUGCAGUGUAUAUACUCAAGAGGAUGCCUAUGAGAGCAUCUUUUUUGCUAUUAAUCAGUAUCAUCAGCUAAAGGACAUUACCCUGGGGACCCUUGGUUAUGGAGAAAAUGAAGACAAUAGAAUUGGCUUAAAAGUCUGUAAGCAGCAUUACAAGAAAGGGACCAUGUUUCCUUCUAAUGAGACACUGAAUAUUGACAACGACGUUGAGCUCGAUUGUGUUCAAUUAGACCUUCAGGACCUCUCCAAGAAGCCUCCGGACUGGAAGAACUCAUCAUUCUUCAGACUGGAAUUUUAUCGGCUCUUACAGGUUGAAAUCUCCUUUCAUCUUAAAGGCAUUGACCUACAAACAAUUCAUUCCCGUGAGUUACCAGACUGUUAUGUCUUUCAGAAUACGAUUAUCUUUGACAAUAAAGCUCACAGUGGCAAAAUCAAAAUCUAUUUUGACAGUGAUGCCAAAAUUGAAGAAUGUAAAGACUUGAACAUACUUGGAUCUACUCAGAAAAAUGCUCAGUAUGUCCUGGUGUUUGAUGCAUUUGUCAUUGUGAUUUGCUUGGCAUCUCUUAUUCUGUGUACAAGAUCCAUUGUUCUUGCUCUAAGGUUACGGAAGAGAUUUCUAAAUUUCUUCCUGGAGAAGUACAAGCGGCCUGUGUGUGACACCGACCAGUGGGAGUUCAUCAACGGCUGGUAUGUCCUGGUGAUUAUCAGCGACCUAAUGACAAUCAUUGGCUCCAUAUUAAAAAUGGAAAUCAAAGCAAAGAAUCUCACAAACUAUGAUCUCUGCAGCAUUUUUCUUGGAACCUCUACGCUCUUGGUUUGGGUUGGAGUCAUCAGAUACCUGGGUUAUUUCCAGGCAUAUAAUGUGCUGAUUUUAACAAUGCAGGCCUCACUGCCAAAAGUUCUUCGGUUUUGUGCUUGUGCUGGUAUGAUUUAUCUGGGUUACACAUUCUGUGGCUGGAUUGUCUUAGGACCAUACCAUGACAAGUUUGAAAAUCUGAACACAGUUGCUGAGUGUCUGUUUUCUCUGGUCAACGGUGAUGACAUGUUUGCAACCUUUGCCCAAAUCCAGCAGAAGAGCAUCUUGGUGUGGCUGUUCAGUCGUCUGUAUUUAUAUUCCUUCAUCAGCCUUUUUAUAUAUAUGAUUCUCAGUCUUUUUAUUGCACUUAUUACAGAUUCUUAUGACACCAUUAAGAAAUUCCAACAGAAUGGGUUUCCUGAAACGGAUUUGCAGGAAUUCCUGAAGGAAUGCAGUAGCAAAGAAGAGUAUCAGAAAGAGUCCUCAGCCUUCCUGUCCUGCAUCUGCUGUCGGAGGAGCCCUAUGGAACGAGUGAAAGAUUUAAGGCGUGGACCCCAAGACGUUUGGGUAAGAUUGGGUCUGAGUGGUGACAGCAAGGAGCAACAGCAGCAGACCAUUUGCCCUAAAGUGUGCUGAGGGUUGUUGAGAAGAUGCAUGGUGAGACGGAGGGUCUGCCCCUCAUGAAGAGUGAAAGAAUUCGAGGGAACAAGAGAGCCCACCAAGGAGAUCAACUGAAGAACUAGGAUGAUGAAAGUUUUGAAAAAGAGGAUAUCAAAAAACAAAGACAGGAAAAGAAGUGAUGAUCACUUGAUACCUAUUAGCUAAAGUUCUUCUGCUAAAGAUGAUUAAAGUUCAGGCAUCUUUAUCCAGCGGCUGAGCAGAGGAUCCCCAAAUGACUUGGACAAGCAGUUCCAAAAUGACUCUCUUAUUUAAUUGUGGAGUGGGAAAGAGGACUCACAGUUAGCCAGCUGACCAUGACUGAAGUUCCAACUUUACUUUUUAUAAACUUGAAUGAUAAAGAAUAGACCAUGGGCUACUACUGGGCAUUAGUGCAAUAUAACAGCGAUAAUAAAAUUCUCUAUUAGUCUGUUAAUUUAUGACAUGAUCUCAGAAUUGAAAAAGAUCAUUUCAGAGUGUGCAAAAUAAUAGUCUUUAAAGCCAUAUAAUUAAAUAUGUGUGUUUAUUGUCAAAUAAGGAUUUGUUUUAAAGGUGAUUCUUGGGUUUGAAGACAUUUGUUAAUUCAUGGUCUGUACAGAAAUGAAGCUGGUUGCAAUACCAAUCUAGAGAUUCCAAGCUGGCGAACUAUUAAGCUAUUUAAAGAUCACCCUUGGCCUGGCACAGUGGCUCACACCUGUAAUCCCAGCACUUUGGGAGGCCUAGGCAGGCAGACUGAGCUCAGGAGCUUGAGACCAGCCUGGGCAACAUGGCAAAAACCCAUCUCUACAAAAAGUACAAAAAUUAGUCGGGCGUGAUGGCAGGCAUCUGUAGUCCCAGCUACUUGGGAAGCUGAAGUGGGAGGAUCACCUGAGCUCUGGAGGUGGAGGCUGCCAUGAGCCGUGAUCGUGCCACUACACUCCAGCCUGGGUGACAGAGUGAGAUCCUGUCUCAAAAAAAAAAAAAAAAAAAGAUCACCCUUAAAUCAACAAAAAGACCUCAUGCUCAUGCAGUGGACAUUUCUUGGCCUGUUUUCCUGUGGGUUUUCUUCAGCAUGAUAUGAAGCAACUGUUGGCAUAGCCAGUGGGAUGAAUAAGAAAUGGAAUCAUUUGGCUGCCUCGUCACUUAUGCUAAUGGUCAGUUGUACACACAUGACAUGUGGAAGUGACCUGUAGCAGUGGUCGCUCAUUUUAACAAUUGAACUCCGCUGGGUUGGGUAUUUACCUUUGUCUAGCAAAGAAAUAUGAUAUAUUUUCUCUAAAUAAAUUUAUUUUUAUCAUUCCA